GAUGAACGCUAGCGGCAGGCCUAACACAUGCAAGUCGAGGGGUAGCAGGAUUAAGCUUGCUUAAUUGCUGACGACCGGCGCACGGGUGCGUAACGCGUAUGCAACCUACCUUAUACUGGGGUAUAGCCCGGAGAAAUUCGGAUUAAUCCCCCAUAGUACUAAUGAAUCGCAUGGUUUAUUAGUUAAAUCAUCGCGGUAUAAGAUGGGCAUGCGUCCUAUUAGCUAGAUGGUGAGGUAACGGCUCACCAUGGCUACGAUAGGUAGGGGGCCUGAGGGGGUGGUCCCCCACACUGGUACUGAGACACGGACCAGACUCCUACGGGAGGCAGCAGUGAGGAAUAUUGGUCAAUGGGCGCAAGCCUGAACCAGCCAUGCCGCGUGCAGGAAGAAUGCCCUAUGGGUUGUAAACUGCUUUUAUUUGGGAAUAAACCUCUUUACGUGUAGAGAGCUGAAGGUACCAAAUGAAUAAGCACCGGCUAACUCCGUGCCAGCAGCCGCCGUAA
RNAcentral lists this ribosomal RNA (503 nucleotides) under uncultured bacterium. Its description in RNAcentral is "partial 16S ribosomal RNA". It matches the Rfam family "Bacterial small subunit ribosomal RNA", at positions 28 to 523 of the family's 1533-position model. The record is from RNAcentral.